This 439-nucleotide ribosomal RNA is filed under the name uncultured bacterium. RNAcentral describes it as "partial 16S ribosomal RNA". It matches the Rfam family "Bacterial small subunit ribosomal RNA", at positions 339 to 795 of the family's 1533-position model. The record is from RNAcentral.
CUACGGGUCGCUGCAGUGGGGAAUCUUGGACAAUGGGCGCAAGCCUGAUCCAGCCAUGCCGCGUGAGUGAUGAAGGCCUUAGGGUCGUAAAGCUCUUUCGCCAGGGAUGAUAAUGACAGUACCUGGUAAAGAAACCCCGGCUAACUCCGUGCCAGCAGCCGCGGUAAUACGGAGGGGGUUAGCGUUGUUCGGAAUUACUGGGCGUAAAGCGCGCGUAGGCGGAUCAGAAAGUUGGGGGUGAAAUCCCGGGGCUCAACCCCGGAACGGCCUCCAAAACUCCUGGUCUUGAGUUCGAGAGAGGUGAGUGGAAUUCCGAGUGUAGAGGUGAAAUUCGUAGAUAUUCGGAGGAACACCAGUGGCGAAGGCGGCUCACUGGCUCGAUACUGACGCUGAGGUGCGAAAGUGUGGGGAGCAAACAGGAUUAGAUACCCUUGUAGUC